AUCCUUCUAGGUCAUGAGAAUGAUGAACGGUGUGUUCACGGACCCUCCGUGAAAGGUACAGCCUUCAUUGUUACGCUCUGUGCCUCAAACCGUCUGAUC
Small nucleolar RNA from Dunckerocampus dactyliophorus (ringed pipefish), 99 nucleotides. RefSeq annotates it as small nucleolar RNA U13. The record is from RefSeq and is a predicted model, not a curated record. The transcript has a single exon. NCBI's taxonomy places the organism in Eukaryota, Metazoa, Chordata, Actinopteri, Syngnathiformes, Syngnathidae.